GACGAACGCUGGCGGCGUGCUUAACAUAUGCAAGUCGAACGGAAAGGCCCUGCUUUUGUGGGGUGCUCGAGUGGCGAACGGGUGAGUAACACGUGAGUAACCUGCCCUUGACUUUGGGAUAACUUCAGGAAACUGGGGCUAAUACCGGAUAGGAGCUCCUGCUGCAUGGUGGGGGUUGGAAAGUUUCGGCGGUUGGGGAUGGACUCGCGGCUUAUCAGCUUGUGGGUGGGGUAGUGGCUUACCAAGGCUUUGACGGGUAGUCGGACUGAGAGGGUGACCAGCCACAUUGGGAUUGAGGUACGGCACAGACUCCUACGGAAGGCAGCAGUCGUGACUAUUACUCACUGGACGGAAUCCUGACGCUGCCACGCCGCGUGCGGGAUGUCGACCUUCUGUUUGUAAACCGCUUUCCCCUGUUACGAAGACUGUGUGACAUUACUGGGUAAAGAAGCACCGGCUAACUACGUG
RNAcentral lists this ribosomal RNA (468 nucleotides) under uncultured bacterium. RNAcentral's name for it is "partial 16S ribosomal RNA". It matches the Rfam family "Bacterial small subunit ribosomal RNA", at positions 28 to 507 of the family's 1533-position model. The record is from RNAcentral.